ACGAACGCUGGCGGCGUGCUUAACACAUGCAAGUCGAACGGAGAGGCCCUGCUUUUGUGGGGUGCUCGAGUGGCGAACGGGUGAGUAACACGUGAGUAACCUGCCCUUGACUUUGGGAUAACUUCAGGAAACUGGGGCUAAUACCGGAUAGGAGCUCCUGCUGCAUGGUGGGGGUUGGAAAGUUUCGGCGGUUGGGGAUGGACUCGCGGCUUUCAGCUUGUUGGUGGGGUAGUGGCUUACCAAGGCUUUGACGGGUAGCCGGCCUGAGAGGGUGACCGGCCACAUUGGGACUGAGAUACGGCCCAGACUCCUACGGGAGGCAGCAGUGGGGAAUAUUGCACAAUGGGCGGAAGCCUGAUGCAGCAACGCCGCGUGCGGGAUGACGGCCUUCGGGUUGUAAACCGCUUUCGCCUGUGACGAAGCGUGAGUGACGGUAAUGGGUAAAGAAGCACCGGCUAACUACGUG
This 466-nucleotide ribosomal RNA is filed under the name uncultured bacterium. RNAcentral describes it as "partial 16S ribosomal RNA". It matches the Rfam family "Bacterial small subunit ribosomal RNA", at positions 29 to 507 of the family's 1533-position model. The record is from RNAcentral.